AUACGUAGGGGGCGAGCGUUGUCCGGAAUGAUUGGGCGUAAAGGGCGCGUAGGCGGCUUUGCAAGUCAGUAGUGGAAGUCCAUUUUUCAAGGAUGGAAGUGCUACAGAAACUGCGGAGCUUGAGUGCAGGAGAGGUAAUCGGAAUUCCGGGUGUAGCGGUGAAAUGCGUAGAGAUCGGGAGGAACACCAGUGGCGAAGGCGGGUAACUGGACUGCAACUGACGCUGAGGCGCGAAAGUGUGGGGAGCAAACAGGAUUAGAUACCCUGGUAGUCCACACUGUAAACGAUGAAUGCUAGGUGUAGGAGGUAUCGACCCCUUCUGUGCCGCAGUAAACACAGUAAGCAUUCCGCCUGGGGAGUACGGUCGCAAGAUUAAAACUCAAAGGAAUUGACGGGG
RNAcentral lists this ribosomal RNA (397 nucleotides) under uncultured bacterium. RNAcentral describes it as "partial 16S ribosomal RNA". It matches the Rfam family "Bacterial small subunit ribosomal RNA", at positions 523 to 918 of the family's 1533-position model. The record is from RNAcentral.